Non-coding RNA from Cinara cedri, 245 nucleotides. NCBI's taxonomy places the organism in Eukaryota, Metazoa, Arthropoda, Insecta, Hemiptera, Aphididae. The record is from the annotation of a GenBank genome assembly.
AGUGUAUUGGUUUCAUUAUAACCUGUGUAGUUUUAUUUUUUUUCUGUAUGUAAACAACUUUUUUACCAUAAAUCAUGAUCCAAUCAGCAUAUUUUUAUAUGAGAGUUUUUAUAAAACAAUAUCUGGAAUUUCGGAUCUAGUUGGAGUGUUACAGGGAUCAUAUUUUGAUUUUCUGAGUGGUUUUUGACGUACUCUGGACAUUUUUAAGCAUUCAUAGAUAUUUAACAUUUCUGUGAUAUUUUACU